Molecule: long non-coding RNA, 2786 nt
Organism: Mesocricetus auratus (golden hamster)
Lineage: Eukaryota; Metazoa; Chordata; Mammalia; Rodentia; Cricetidae
Exons: 4
Source: RefSeq, a predicted model, not a curated record
AGCAGCGUGAAGUCCUCACAGGGCAAUUCUACACUCACCACAGAGCACUGUCAGUGCUAACAUCAGCCAGAUCUGUCCAGCCAGCGUCUACCAGGGCAGGGACUCCUCCCGCAGACAGGCUGGGAGUCCCUGCUGCUCCUCUAGGGUCCUUCACCUCUGCUACUCAACAGCAGGGGGAGCAUUUACCAGAAUGUUCCAGGAAGUAUAGACCUUGAUCCAGGGGACUUGGAUACCUGGGAGGAACCUGGGUUGCCAGCAUAGAAGCAAAAACGAGGCUGAUGAUAGGACUUGGGGCAGUGGAAGCCAGGCCAAAGCGCGCCACAGACGAGGAGAUGUCAAUCGAGUGAGAGCACGCACAGAUUGUCAUUUUAACUUUUUAUUUGGAGACGAUUGGGAUUCACAUGCCAUCAUGAGAAGGAAUUCAGGGUGGUCCCCAGUAUUGCCCAGCCACCCCCAUGGUAACCCUUGUCAACAACAAGCUCAAGUCCCAGAAGACACAGGUGGCCUGUCUUCACGCUGAGACCAAAGGAGAGAUUUUAUUUGGCAAGAGUCUUCAGACAUCAGCUUUUCUCACCGGAAGGAGGACAGGACACAGCAACAGACCAGGGCGCCCCGAUCCCAUCAUAAUGAUCCCCAACGGAAGAGCUGGUGACAGCUCACACGCUGGCCCAGAGAUGGAUGCUCCGCAUGAAGAUCCUCAGGUCUCCGUUUUCUUCAAUGCGCGUCACGUUGUCCGAGGCCAUAGAAACAGAGUACCAGUUCCCGGAAAUCUGGAAGGAAAGGCUGAGUUGUGGGAGUCCUGGAAUAGCACUGGGGCUGCUUGGCCCUCACGGCCACACUCCUGGGUGAGUCCCUGAACACUGACUCCAUGCUGGGACCCCCUUUUGCCUUUCCAGCCCUCCCUCUGCCUCAUUCCUCCCAGGGCUCCUCUGCAUCCUCUGGCUGCCAUCAUGGCUGGGGCUGGGAGGGUCUCUCACGGCCCAGACACCCUUUUUCCAGGUCAAGUGUCCCACAGGAGAGGACAGGUGUUCUUCACGAAGCCUAGCCCAGCCCUAGAAGGCUUGGCCCACCCUGGCCAUGUUGAAGUUCCUCUGCACGACCACUUCCUGGUUGAACUGUGCAGCGGCAAGGCUCAGCACCAGGCCCAGCACUGGCAGUACUACCAUGCUCUCCGGUGGACACCUUGGCCUGAGUCUUAUUCCCUUAUGCCCAUUUCUAUUCUAUGGUUGACAGCCUCUGUGGACAGCCUGUCCACACACAUCCUGUGUCCUGUUGGAAGGUGGCCAAAGGCCUCCACUUAACUGUUCACAUCCAAGAGCUGGUUGCAGAACCUGAGUUGAUGUGUAACUGGGUCAGAAAGCGGCAGGGGAAGUUGGGACCAACAGCGUUUGUCCAUCAGGUCCCUGGACCCAGGCCAGCCCUUGCUCUGUCUCUCCACGCUGGGGAGGAAGAACUCAGAGCCUAGGUAUUCGAGUUCCAUUUUCACACCCUGUCUGGCCUCAGUGUUCAUGUGCGAGGGAGUCUGGCUUCUUACAAGCCAUCUGCAUGGCAUGUAGUACAGGUCUGCAGCAGAGCCAGCUACCCCACCCAGUGGAUGUCACUGAAUGUAGGGUGUGACUCCGAAACUCCAGGAAAAGACCCGAGUGAGGCAGUGCUCACGAAGUCAGCCCCUGCGUGAGAGCUGAGGGGUCCUGAGACAGAACAAUGUUCUGGAAGCACACAGAUACAGGGUCAGAUGUGUCCCCAUCCUGGCUGGAGACUGGUCGUGGGAGGCGGCAGCGAGACGUGUCCUGGAAAUGUCUGCACAGCUCUACAGGUGUGUUCCAGGACUCUGGCUCCCACUGCCUCCGGGAACAGGUGCGUUGGUGGCAGUGGAGGGGAGGCAUUAUUCCUUUGAAGAAAUAAGGCUAAGCUUGGCAGCCAGGGCCGGAAGAUCUCAGCCUCCGGGUAAUGCAGACACCCACUGGCUGCCAUUUCCCUACUUAGGUAGUUCUACCAUUAUCUGCCCUGGGCUGAUGUGGUUCUGAGGUAGAGGAAGGGGGCCCAGAUGUCCCUGGGCACCUGGCAGGUGUCGAGCAUUACCAACCGCCGCUGAAACCACGUACAGUUAAUGUCAAUGAUGAGUUCUCUGGCUUCCAAGCACCCUUUCUGUUGAUCAUUUUCCCAUCAGUAGGGAUGGGGCAGUAUGACUCCAGUGCUGUCGACUCUCCCUUACUCCCCCAGCUGUUUUGAGCAAAAGAGCUGUCAGUCCAAUAAAUACAUACAUAUAUACAUAUACAUACAUACAUAUAUACAUACAUACAUACACACAUACAUAUAUACAUACAUACAUACAUACACACAUACAUAUAUACAUACAUAUAUACACACAUACAUAUAUACAUACAUACACACAUACAUAUAUACAUACAUACAUAUUCCACACUGUUGAGCCCUUUCUUGCUCUAGCUCCUGAGCUUCAGCCUAAUUCAGGACUGUCCUACACUAUUUGUCCUGGGCUUUUUCCUGUCCCCAGGCUUGAGGAACUCCAGGUGACUCCAUGAUUUUUUCUACUCAGGCCAGGGGUGGCCCACAUGCUCUGGUGGCCUAGCAGAGGACCUGCUGUGAGCGGUAGAAAGAGCAACGCUGUGAUUGGUGAAAACGCAAACCUUAUUUGUACAAGUUUGCUAUGACUGGAAUGAAACGCCCCAAAAUCUGGUUUGAUGAGCUGUCUGACUCACAGCCUCCUUUUCUGCCUGCCCUGGUACUGCAGCAUUGGGUCCAAUAAAACCCUUCCUUGAGUGUGA